This is a non-coding RNA of Arachis ipaensis, 2257 nucleotides long. Lineage: Eukaryota; Viridiplantae; Streptophyta; Magnoliopsida; Fabales; Fabaceae. The record is from RefSeq and is a predicted model, not a curated record.
UUCAAUAGGUUGAAUUAGUAUAUAUAGAGAUCGCCAUGCUUAGAUGGACUUGUGUCUUGUGCUAGUAUGAUAGCCGGUCAUGAUGAAUCUAACACUUCCUAACACGAUUUAACUGUCUGCAUUGCAUUAUUCUCUAUGGCCUUUAUUGGUUAUAUGUUUUGUGAAACAGUUAAGGAAGGAAGGAAGGAAAAAUGAGUUUGAAAGGCACAAGCUGCAAGCAUUAAAUUAGCGCCAAAAACUGAGAUAUGGAUCGAAGGUUUCAUUAGAUGCUGAGGAUGAGUCGACAACAUUAAACUUGCAAGCUGUUGCAUUUAUAGAUUGCUUAGUUAGGUAAGGUUUUGUAUUCUAUUUCAUUUCAUGUUUAGAUAGAUUGAUUGUGGAAAGCACGAUGCCAAUGCUUUAUAGUGAAUUUGGGCUUGUUUAGAAAGAUUAUUUUCAGUGAUGUCUUUUUUUCAUUAAAAGUACUUUUAUUCUAUCAAUUAUAUUUGAAUACCAUAGUAUAAAAAUACUGUUUUAUAAAUUGUUGGCUCAAUAAAUGGGUUUGCAUUAAUGUUUGUGUCCCUAUCUAUUUCUCCUAAGCAAAUAAAACUGAAACAGUACGAUAGAUUGAUAAGUUUUUUUCAUUAUGGUCAGGGGACUAUAGGUGUGAGAUCAGCUUUUCUAUGAUUGAAAUUCAAAGUUCGUCGUCUUAAUAUCUAAGAUAAACUUUAAGGUUAAUAUGUAUAACUCAAGUUGGUGAACUAAAUAAGCACCAAUACUCUAGCAUUAAAUUUUAUUGUUUGCUUAGAAGAUGGUAUUAAAUUUGAUUGAGAUGUUGCACUAUAAGAACCAGAAGUGCUGAUCUCUCUCACCCUUUUAUUUUCAGAAAACAUUAUUAGGUUAAUAGGUUUAUUAUCUGGUGUGUCCUCUUUUCUAUUAUUUUUUUAUGCACAACAAUGCCAAGUAACGUUGAUAAAACUCGAUUCAUUCCCCCCUUCAAUUGACAUGAAUUUUGAUGAUAUGGUUUUAUAUAGCAACAAAUACUAAUUCAGUUGUACAUAUUAUGAAUGCAUCUCUUAAGUCGUCUAUUGUGCUGUGUGUGAUAAUUGAGAUCUUUGUGGCUUUGUUUCAUCCUAGUGUUAUACACAAUAAUGGACUAUGUCGUAGGUUCUAAUUGAUGUUUAUUUUUAAUGAAUUAGCAAGUAUUGCUUUGAGAUAAUUCUCAUGCAUAUUUUGUUCUGUUCAAAUUUUAUUUAUUUUAGAUGAAAGCAGUAUUUUUAUGGUUAAUAGCUCCUUUAAACUUUCACUCAACAAAUUAUUCUACUUAGACCAUUUUAAAAUGCUUAUUAAAGGUGAAUGAAGGUAUCAUGAAUGCUCUUUAAAACUUUGCCAAAAUAGCAAGUUAUCCUAAUUUUAUUAGUUUUAUAUUACAUCAUGAAAAGUUGUAUUUCAAUCCUCACUACUAAAUGGAUUUUUUUUUAAAUCUGUAAACUGUAAUGAUUCUUUUUUAUGUUUUUAGUUUAUUGUGAAUUAAUUAUUGAAGGCUUUCUCCCAAUGUGAUUAAUCACAGUUUUAAACAUUUCUUUCUCCUAUUCAUAUGACCGUCUUGUUUUAUUCUCUUGUGUUGGAAAAAAUCAAAAUUGAGUGAUAUCUCACAAAUUGGUGGGUUUGUGGAUUGGUACCUUCGUAAGCUUGAAGAACACCCCAUUGUCACUAAGAGCCUUACCUCUUCUUUUAUUUUCACUGCUUCUGACUUCACUUCUCAGAAAUAUAGCACUAUGAUCUCAAGAACCUGCACUACAGACACGCCUAAGAGAAAAUCAAAGCCUCAACCUCCCUUGAAGCGCAUAGCCUCCUUCCUCAGAUCACCAUUCCGAAGAAAACAUAGCAUGUCCAAGAAUGAAAAGGCUCAGUCCUUGUUAAAGUGCUUCAACUAUGAGCAGAUAGCCAAUGCUACUAAUGAAUUCCACCAAGAUAAUUUGGUCGGGAGAGGUAGAUACUCAGGAGUAUACAAAGGUGAUCUUUGUAUGUCAAUGUUUAUGAAAUUAUAUGUCAUAAAUAGUAAUUAUUCUAUAAGGGAGGAUGAAUUCGAUGAUCUUGAUGACUCAGAUGAAUAUUUAAAAGAGUAUGAAUAGGGUUAUUUAUUUUGCUUUGAAUAUUUUGUAUUAUUAGUGAAUUACAAUUUAAACGAAUAUAAGUCUGAAUUUAGUUAUUUAUGUUGUCUUGAGUUUUUUAUGUUAGAGGAUUAUUUAUUAUUUUGAUAAGUUUGUAAACUCAU